GACGAACGCUGGCGGCGUGCUUAACACAUGCAAGUCGAACGGAAAGGCCCUGCUUUUGUGGGGUGCUCGAGUGGCGAACGGGUGAGUAACACGUGAGUAACCUGCCCUUGACUUUGGGAUAACUUCAGGAAACUGGGGCUAAUACCGGAUAGGAGCUCCUGCUGCAUGGUGGGGGUUGGAAAGUUUCGGCGGUUGGGGAUGGACUCGCGGCUUAUCAGCUUGUUGGUGGGGUAGUGGCUUACCAAGGCUUUGACGGGUAGCCGGCCUGAGAGGGUGACCGGCCACAUUGGGACUGAGAUACGGCCCAGACUCCUACGGGAGGCAGGAGUGGGGAAUAUUGCGCAAUGGGCGGAAGCCUGAUGCAGCAACGCCGCGUGCGGGAUGACGGCCUUCGGGUUGUAAACCGCUUUCGCCUGUGACGAAGCGUGAGUGACGGUAAUGGGUAAAGAAGCACCGGCUAACUACGUG
Molecule: ribosomal RNA, 468 nt
Filed under: uncultured bacterium
Lineage: Bacteria
Description: partial 16S ribosomal RNA
Rfam family: Bacterial small subunit ribosomal RNA
Source: RNAcentral